GAUGAACGCUGGCGGCGUGCUUAACACAUGCAAGUCGAACGGAAAGGCCCAAGCUUGCUUGGGUGCUCGAGUGGCGAACGGGUGAGUAACACGUGGGUGAUCUGCCCUGCACUUUGGGAUAAGCCUGGGAAACUGGGUCUAAUACCGGAUAGGACCAUCGUUUAGUGUCGGUGGUGGAAAGUUUUUCGGUGUGGGAUGAGCUCGCGGCCUAUCAGCUUGUUGGUGGGGUAAUGGCCUACCAAGGCGUCGACGGGUAGCCGGCCUGAGAGGGUGUACGGCCACAUUGGGACUGAGAUACGGCCCAGACUCCUACGGGAGGCGGCAGUGGGGAAUAUUGCACAAUGAGCGCAAGCCUGAUGCAGCGACGCCGCGUGGGGGAUGACGGCCUUCGGGUUGUAAACUCCUUUCGCCAAGGACGAAGCGUUUUGUGACGGUACUUGGAGAAGAAGCACCGGCUAACUACGUG
RNAcentral lists this ribosomal RNA (466 nucleotides) under uncultured bacterium. Its description in RNAcentral is "partial 16S ribosomal RNA". It matches the Rfam family "Bacterial small subunit ribosomal RNA", at positions 28 to 507 of the family's 1533-position model. The record is from RNAcentral.